GAGGAUGAGAACCUCCGGGGGCAAGAGGUUCGACCCGAGCGAAGCGAGAGAACGUUGCUUCAGCAACGGCCCGCAGGGCGAGCCACGCAGUGGCGAGUCAUCCUC
RNAcentral lists this small RNA (105 nucleotides) under Salmonella enterica subsp. enterica. RNAcentral's name for it is "RtT sRNA". It matches the Rfam family "RtT RNA", at positions 18 to 118 of the family's 130-position model. Rfam says of the family: This family represents a bacterial cis-regulatory element known as RtT RNA. The exact function of RtT is unknown although it is thought that it may be involved in changing the cellular response in relation to amino acid starvation. Lineage: Bacteria; Pseudomonadati; Pseudomonadota; Gammaproteobacteria; Enterobacterales; Enterobacteriaceae. The record is from RNAcentral.